Molecule: long non-coding RNA, 2118 nt
Filed under: Capra hircus (goat)
Lineage: Eukaryota; Metazoa; Chordata; Mammalia; Artiodactyla; Bovidae
Description: lncRNA (ENSCHIG00010032565.1)
Source: RNAcentral
GCAAUUAUCUAAUAAAAGGUUAAUUACUUGAUCAUACUAUAGAAAUCAGUUUACCUAUUUAUCACUAAAAUGAGACCAACAGAGCUGAGUUGUCUCCAUUUUCAACCUGUUCUGAACCAUUCUUCACUCGAGCAGGUAUCUGGCUGUCCUGGGACAGGGCGACUUCUGUCAAGUACAUAGGGAACAUUGCAAAAACAGAGCAAACGUUCCAGAACAUACAGGGAGGUUGAAACCUAGUUUUGGAGCUUUCUCACAGAAAGCUCCUUUCACAGUCAACCCCAAGGCACUUCUGAUCUUGUAGUUACCUAGGGGCCCACCGGUCACCAGGCCUGACACAUAAAUUUAAUGUUCAUUUAGUCUUACAUAUCUUUCUGAAAAUACAGACUGUUUUCUAACACUGCAAUGAAAAGCCUCAAAAGGAGUCAAAUGGCAAAGACCCUACGAACUGAUAAGUCUGCACAUUUCUACCUGGGGUCACAGAAACACACUUUGUUCUGAACUGGCGGAUCUUCAGGCCUUCUGGGGAAGCAGAGGAGCCUGAAGGAAAGACCAAGACCUUCCAUCAAAAAGAAAAGUCGAAUUCAAAUAACACCAAAGGAAAGGAGUCAGGAACUACUGUGGCUCAAGAAUGAUGCUUUAAACAAUUUUCCUUCUUUUGGCCAAGUUCCCAUUCUUGUUACUGCUGUUUUCAAGUGUAAUGAGCCCUGGUUUGCUUCUAACCAACAGAAAAUGGCAAAGGUGACAGGAUCCAUGACUACAUUAUGUAAGAUUACAAGGUCCACCUUGCGGACUCUCUGUCACUGGCUUUGAGCAAACAACCAGUUACUCUGGCAAGGCUUAUGCGACCAAGAGGGCGGCCUCUUGCUGACAGCCCACUAAACCGAGGUCCUCAGUACAAGGGCCCGCAGAGAACAGAAAGCUGCUCCCAACCACAGGAGUGAGGAAGGAGACCUUUCCCCAAUACAGCCUCAGAUGAGACUACAGCCGUGACAGCCUUACAAAGGACCCAAUGCUGAGAUAUUAAACGUGUUGUAUUUUUAAGCUGCAAAGUUUUUGGUAAUAUUAAUAUACAAAAAUAAAUCACAAAUAUAGAUCUCAGGAUACAUUUUUUUACUUUAAAACAUUUUUAUUAUAAACGUAAUAGCAACAAAGAAANNNNNNNNNNNNNNNNNNNNNNNNNNNNNNNNNNNNNNNNNNNNNNNNNNNNNNNNNNNNNNNNNNNNNNNNNNNNNNNNNNNNNNNNNNNNNNNNNNNUGAUUUGCAUUUCUCUAAUAAUGAGUGAUGUUGAGCAUCUUUUCAUGUGCCUUUUCAUGUGCCUCUAAUGUGGACAGAGUUUCAGUUUAGGAAGGUGGAGAUGGAUGAUGGGUGAUGGUGAGAGUUACAUAACAGUAUGAAUGUACCCAGUACCACUGAACUGAACAGUUAAGAUGUAUGUUAAUAUUUUAUCCAGUCUUCAUCUCUUUUGAAUAUGUGUAUAUUUCAUUUAUAUUUAAUAUGAUGAUUUUUUUACUUUAAAACAUUUUUAUUAUAAAAGUAGUACAAAUAAAGAAAAACUAAAAUCUUAAAGAAAGACAAAGUCAUCCAUUUACUGUCCUGCUCUCCUAUUAUAAACACAGUUAGGAAUUUAUUUUUGCCCUCUUUUGGUGUGUUAUUUACAGCCAUAAUCAUACAUACUCAUACACUUUUGUAUCUUGCUUUUUUUUCUUUUUACUAAGUAUUUUCUCAUGUUUUACAGUACAUUCAUUACUAAUUUUUAAUGGUAACAUAACACACCAUUCAUUAGCUAUAUAUGUUUAUUGACUAUUUCCCCAGAGUGGGAGUUGGCAAACUAUGGCCCUGCAUUUGUAAAUAAGGUUUUAUUGGAAUAUAGCCAUAUCCAUUCAUUUAUAUACUGUCCACAAUUAUUUCUGUCCUACAAACAGCAUAGUUGAGAAGUUGUGAGAAAAUCUAUAUGGCCUGAAAAACCUAAAGUAGUUCCUUUCUGGCACUUUCCAGAGAAUUUUGCUGACUCUUGCCUUCAACUUUUAAAAACACCUUUCUAGACAACAAUUAAUUAAGAAGUAUUAACAAAAGUAGGAAAACUGGGCCUACUUAAGAAAUGUUUUUAAGGUUCACAGU